This 595-nucleotide ribosomal RNA is filed under the name uncultured Actinomycetes bacterium. Its description in RNAcentral is "bacterial SSU rRNA". It matches the Rfam family "Bacterial small subunit ribosomal RNA", at positions 251 to 860 of the family's 1533-position model. Lineage: Bacteria; Bacillati; Actinomycetota; Actinomycetes. The record is from RNAcentral.
GGUGAGGUAAUGGCUCACCAAGGCAUCGACGGGUAGCUGGUCUGAGAGGACGAUCAGCCACACUGGGACUGAGACACGGCCCAGACUCCUACGGGAGGCAGCAGUAGGGAAUCUUGCGCAAUGGGCGAAAGCCUGACGCAGCAACGCCGCGUGGGGGAUGAAGGCCUUCGGGUUGUAAACCCCUUUCAGCAGGGACGAAAAUGACGGUACCUGCAGAAGAAGCUCCGGCCAACUACGUGCCAGCAGCCGCGGUAAUACGUAGGGAGCAAGCGUUGUCCGGAAUUAUUGGGCGUAAAGAGCUCGUAGGCGGUUCGGUAAGUCGGGUGUGAAAAUCCAGGGCUCAACCCUGGGACGCCACCCGAUACUGCUGUGACUAGAGUCCGGUAGAGGAGUGUGGAAUUCCUGGUGUAGCGGUGAAAUGCGCAGAUAUCAGGAGGAACACCAGCGGCGAAGGCGGCACUCUGGGCCGGUACUGACGCUGAGGAGCGAAAGCAUGGGGAGCAAACAGGAUUAGAUACCCUGGUAGUCCAUGCCGUAAACGUUGGGCACUAGGUAUGGGGUCUUAUCAACGGAUUCCGUGCCGUAGCUAACGCAU